UUCAAGACUGGUGCCUGGAGCCUGGAGCCC
RNAcentral lists this non-coding RNA (30 nucleotides) under Rattus norvegicus (Norway rat). The record is from RNAcentral. Lineage: Eukaryota; Metazoa; Chordata; Mammalia; Rodentia; Muridae.